RNAcentral lists this ribosomal RNA (451 nucleotides) under uncultured organism. RNAcentral describes it as "partial 16S ribosomal RNA". It matches the Rfam family "Bacterial small subunit ribosomal RNA", at positions 334 to 801 of the family's 1533-position model. The record is from RNAcentral.
CACUCCUGCGGGAGGCAGCAGUGGGGAAUAUUGGACAAUGGGCGCAAGCCUGAUCCAGCCAUGCCGCGUGAGUGAUGAAGGCCCUAGGGUUGUAAAGCUCUUUCACCGGUGAAGAUAAUUACGGUAACCGGAGAAGAAGCCCCGGCUAACUUCGUGCCAGCAGCCGCGGUAAUACGAAGGGGGCUAGCGUUGUUCGGAUUUACUGGGCGUAAAGCGCACGUAGGCGGACUAUUAAGUCAGGGGUGAAAUCCCGGGGCUCAACCCCGGAACUGCCUUUGAUACUGGUAGUCUUGAGUUCGAGAGAGGUGAGUGGAAUUCCGAGUGUAGAGGUGAAAUUCGUAGAUAUUCGGAGGAACACCAGUGGCGAAGGCGGCUCACUGGCUCGAUACUGACGCUGAGGUGCGAAAGCGUGGGGAGCAAACAGGAUUAGAUACCCUAGUAGUCCCAUGAU